CAGUAGCCGCGGUAAUACGAAGGGUGCAAGCGUUAAUCGGAAUUACUGGGCGUAAAGCGCACGCAGGCGGUCUGACAAGUCAGAUGUGAAAUCCCCGGGCUUAACCUGGGAACUGCAUUUGAAACUGUCAGGCUGGAGUCUUGUAGAGGGGGGUGGAAUUCCAGGUGUAGCGGUGAAAUGCGUAGAGAUCUGGAGGAAUACCGGUGGCGAAGGCGGCCCCCUGGACAAAGACUGACGCUCAGGUGCGAAAGCGUGGGGAGCAAACAGGAUUAGAUACCCGCGUAGUCCCUGUCUCUUAUAA
Molecule: ribosomal RNA, 301 nt
Filed under: uncultured bacterium
Lineage: Bacteria
Description: partial 16S ribosomal RNA
Rfam family: Bacterial small subunit ribosomal RNA
Source: RNAcentral